This is a small nucleolar RNA of Gossypium raimondii (Peruvian cotton), 105 nucleotides long. It matches the Rfam family "Plant small nucleolar RNA R71". From Rfam's summary of the family: R71 is a member of the C/D box family of snoRNAs containing the C (UGAUGA) and D (CUGA) box motifs. Multiple nearly identical copies of this snoRNA have been identified in Arabidopsis, and it is thought to function as a 2'-O-ribose methylation guide for 18S ribosomal RNA. Lineage: Eukaryota; Viridiplantae; Streptophyta; Magnoliopsida; Malvales; Malvaceae. The record is from Rfam.
AACCCAUAAUGAGGGCACCUUCUCAAUAAGUCUUUAUACCUCUCCCAUGCAUCAUAUAAGGUUUUUAAGUUGAUCUGAAUGAAGGAAGAGAUACCAUUCCUCAAU